AGCUUAGAGAAAUUAUUCUAGGUGAAGCCUGCCCGGUGAAGAUUUAACGGCCGCGGUACCCUGACCGUGCUAAGGUAGCGUAAUCAGUUGACUUUUAAAUGAAGUCUAGUAUGAAUGGAUCAAUGGGAUUAAGCUGUCUCUUUUUUAUUUUAUUGAAAUUACUAAUUAGGUGAAAAGGCCUAAAAGUGAAAAAGGACGAGAAGACCCUUAGAGUUUUAAUAAUAAAUUUUUGUUGGGGCGACAAGAAGACAUAAUUAACUCUUCUAAAAUAAAAUUUACUUGCCGGUUUUUCCAAGAAUGGAUAAACUACCUAAGGGAUAACAGCAUAAUCCAUUUAUGGGUUUGUGACCUCGAUGUUGGACUAGGAAACUUGUAUCCUAGCAGGAUAUAUAGUUAGGUUCUGUUCGAACUUUUUCUCCU
RNAcentral lists this ribosomal RNA (420 nucleotides) under Stylocheilus longicauda (longtail seacat). RNAcentral describes it as "partial 16S ribosomal RNA". It matches the Rfam family "Archaeal large subunit ribosomal RNA", at positions 1908 to 2665 of the family's 2987-position model. Lineage: Eukaryota; Metazoa; Mollusca; Gastropoda; Aplysiida; Aplysiidae. The record is from RNAcentral.